Rhagoletis zephyria (snowberry fruit fly) is the source of this 183-nucleotide long non-coding RNA. RefSeq lists it as uncharacterized. Lineage: Eukaryota; Metazoa; Arthropoda; Insecta; Diptera; Tephritidae. The record is from RefSeq and is a predicted model, not a curated record.
AUUUAAAAACAAGAUAUUUAAAAAAAAAUUAAUUAGAGAAACUCAUUCCGUUUAAGUCUGUAGCACGGUCUUCAUGGUAGGGAACAAAAGGUUUUGCGAGUGAGAACUAAUUUUUUUGCAAGAAAAAAUUCAAGUACUGUAGGUACAUAGGCAUCGAUGCAGCUUUAUUAUCAAAAAUAUAGA